CCUACGGGGGGCAGCAGUGGGGAAUAUUGGACAAUGGGGGGAACCCUGAUCCAGCCAUGCCGCGUGUGUGAAGAAGGCCCUCGGGUUGUAAAGCACUUUCAGUGAGGAAGAACGCCUGGUGGUUAAUACCCAUCAGGAAAGACAUCACUCACAGAAGAAGCACCGGCUAACUCCGUGCCAGCAGCCGCGGUAAUACGGAGGGUGCGAGCGUUAAUCGGAAUUACUGGGCGUAAAGCGCGCGUAGGUGGCUUGAUAAGCCGGUUGUGAAAGCCCCGGGCUCAACCUGGGAACGGCAUCCGGAACUGUCAAGCUAGAGUGCAGGAGAGGAAGGUAGAAGUCCCGGUGUAGCGGUGAAAUGCGUAGAGAUCGGGAGGAAUACCAGUGGCGAAGGCGGCCUUCUGGACUGACACUGACACUGAGGUGCGAAAGCGUGGGUAGCAAACAGGAUUAGAUACCCUUGUAGUC
Molecule: ribosomal RNA, 465 nt
Filed under: Vreelandella stevensii
Lineage: Bacteria; Pseudomonadati; Pseudomonadota; Gammaproteobacteria; Oceanospirillales; Halomonadaceae
Description: partial 16S ribosomal RNA
Rfam family: Bacterial small subunit ribosomal RNA
Source: RNAcentral